AGUAGGAUAGCUGGGUCAAUUGGCUGUUCCAUUCCAAGUUUUCUAAGGAAUCUCCACACUGCUUUCCAGAGUGGUUGUCACAAUUUGUAUCCCACCAGCAAU
RNAcentral lists this microRNA precursor (102 nucleotides) under Marmota monax (woodchuck). The record is from RNAcentral. Lineage: Eukaryota; Metazoa; Chordata; Mammalia; Rodentia; Sciuridae.